ACCUACGGGGGGCAGCAGUGAGGAAUAUUGGACAAUGGGCUUACGCCUGAACCAGCCAAGUCGCGUGAGGGAAGACUGCCCUAUGGGUUGUAAACCUCUUUUGUCAGGGAGCAACGCCGGCUACGUGUAGCCGGACUGAGAGUACCUGAAGAAAAAGCAUCGGCUAACUCCGUGCCAGCAGCCGCGGUAAUACGGAGGAUGCGAGCGUUAUCCGGAUUUAUUGGGUUUAAAGGGUGCGUAGGCGGACUGUCAAGUCAGCGGUAAAAUACGGGGGCUCAACCUCCGCCCGCCGUUGAAACUGACGG
This 305-nucleotide ribosomal RNA is filed under the name uncultured bacterium. RNAcentral's name for it is "bacterial SSU rRNA". It matches the Rfam family "Bacterial small subunit ribosomal RNA", at positions 337 to 639 of the family's 1533-position model. The record is from RNAcentral.